AAUUGCAGAAGCAAAAGUUUGAGAAGAAGAAGAAGUUGAGUGAGGAACAAAAGGCUGAGCCCAUUGCAAACAUGUAGUGGCAACUUUCACUCCCAUUUUUGUCCACUCAAAAACUCUUAAACCAGAGGUUAUAUUGAGGGUUGAAAAAAACAACAACUCAAAAUCUCAAAACCGAAACCCAGAAUACUAGCAACAAAAAAGAAGAAAAAAAAAGUCUCAACCCUUUUGAUGCGGAUCCACAAAAAGGCUUCACCUUACUUUCUUCUUUGAUUUCAAAAUUCGAGAUCCCAAAACGUCCUAAUAAUACGCAGCACUGUCACCGAAAAAGCAG
This 331-nucleotide unclassified non-coding RNA is filed under the name Hevea brasiliensis (rubber tree). Lineage: Eukaryota; Viridiplantae; Streptophyta; Magnoliopsida; Malpighiales; Euphorbiaceae. The record is from RNAcentral.